UACGUAGGGUGCGAGCGUUAAUCGGAAUUACUGGGCGUAAAGCGUGCGCAGGCGGUGAUGUAAGACAGUUGUGAAAUCCCCGGGCUCAACCUGGGAAUUGCAUCUGUGACUGCAUCGCUAGAGUACGGUAGAUGGGGAUGGAAUUCCGCGUGUAGCAGUGAAAUGCGUAGAUAUGCGGAGGAACACCGAUGGCGAAGGCAGCCCCCUGGGAUAACACUGCCGCUCAUGUACGAAAGCGUGGGUAGCAAACAGG
RNAcentral lists this ribosomal RNA (253 nucleotides) under uncultured bacterium. RNAcentral describes it as "partial 16S ribosomal RNA". It matches the Rfam family "Bacterial small subunit ribosomal RNA", at positions 524 to 776 of the family's 1533-position model. The record is from RNAcentral.